Molecule: unclassified non-coding RNA, 201 nt
Filed under: Hevea brasiliensis (rubber tree)
Lineage: Eukaryota; Viridiplantae; Streptophyta; Magnoliopsida; Malpighiales; Euphorbiaceae
Source: RNAcentral
GGGUUGAAGUGGCAAAUUUUUCCUGCAGAUUCCAAUUAGUCAAAUUACUUGAAAAUUAAUUUCACCAAUAUAUGACAAAAAUUUUGACAAAUGCUAGCAUAUUAUUCCUGGAGUUCUUGCUAAAAUAAAGACACUGACGACUUCAAGAUUUUAUAGAGACUCUCAGAAUAAUUGGAACUAAGAUUAAAACUUCGUGAGAAA